RNAcentral lists this ribosomal RNA (447 nucleotides) under uncultured bacterium. Its description in RNAcentral is "partial 16S ribosomal RNA". It matches the Rfam family "Bacterial small subunit ribosomal RNA", at positions 329 to 792 of the family's 1533-position model. The record is from RNAcentral.
UGCCAGACUCCUACGGGAGGCAGCAGUGGGGAAUAUUGCACAAUGGGGGAAACCCUGAUGCAGCGACGCCGCGUGGGCGACGAAGCGCUCCGGCGCGUAAAGCCCUGUCAGCAGGGAAGAACAAAGACAGUACCUGACCAAGAAGCCCCGGCUAACUACGUGCCAGCAGCCGCGGUAAUACGGAGGGUGCGAGCGUUAAUCGGAAUUACUGGGCGUAAAGCGCUCGUAGGCGGUAUGUCAAGUCAAGGGUGAAAUCCCCGCGCUCAACGUGGGAACUGCCUUUGAAACUGGCAAACUGGAGUGUGUGAGAGGAUAGUGGAAUUCCAGGUGUAGGAGUGAAAUCCGUAGAUAUCUGGAGGAACAUCAGUGGCGAAGGCGACUAUCUGGCACAUAACUGACGCUGAGGAGCGAAAGCGUGGGUAGCAAACAGGAUUAGAUACCCGAGUA